RNAcentral lists this ribosomal RNA (448 nucleotides) under uncultured bacterium. RNAcentral describes it as "bacterial SSU rRNA". It matches the Rfam family "Bacterial small subunit ribosomal RNA", at positions 330 to 792 of the family's 1533-position model. The record is from RNAcentral.
CCCAGACUCCUACGGGAGGCAGCAGUGGGGAAUAUUGCACAAUGGGGGAAACCCUGAUCCAGCGACGCCGCGUGAGUGAAGAAGUAUUUCGGUAUGUAAAGCUCUAUCAGCAGGGAAGAAAGAAAUGACGGUACCUGAGUAAGAAGCCCCAGCUAACUACGUGCCAGCAGCCGCGGUAAUACGUAGGGGGCAAGCGUUAUCCGGAAUUACUGGGUGUAAAGGGAGCGUAGACGGUAAUGCAAGUCUGGAGUGAAAGGCGGGGGCCCAACCCCCGGACUGCUCUGGAAACUGUGUAACUGGGGUGCAGGAGAGGCAGGCGGAAUUCCUAGUGUAGCGGUGAAAUGCGUAGAUAUUAGGAGGAACACCAGUGGCGAAGGCGGCCUGCUGGACUGUAACUGACGUUGAGGCUCGAAAGCGUGGGGAGCAAACAGGAUUAGAUACCCGAGUA